UACGGAGGAUGCGAGCGUUAUCCGGAUUUAUUGGGUUUAAAGGGUGCGUAGGCGGACUGUCAAGCCAGCGGUAAAAUUGAGAGGCUCAACCUCUUCCCGCCGUUGAAACUGGUGGUCUUGAGUGGAUGAGAAGUACGCGGAAUGCGUGGUGUAGCGGUGUAAUGCAUAGAUAUCACGCAGAACUCCGAUUGCGAAGGUAGCGUACCGGCAUCCAACUGACGCUGAGGCACGAAAGCGUGGGGAUCAAACAGG
RNAcentral lists this ribosomal RNA (252 nucleotides) under uncultured bacterium. RNAcentral describes it as "partial 16S ribosomal RNA". It matches the Rfam family "Bacterial small subunit ribosomal RNA", at positions 524 to 776 of the family's 1533-position model. The record is from RNAcentral.